CUCUCUUCCUUUAUUUCUUGUUUCCUCUCACCACUCAAGCUUCUCUUCAAGACAAAGUACGCCUCUUUCUCUCUCCCUGUCUUCUCUGGGUCUUGAACAAGUCCCAGAGACUCGCGGGUUCAUAAAGAAAUGCAGAUUGAGAGACAGCUGUAAAGGGAAAUAAGUCUCCCUUAUUCUCUUUUUAGUCUCUCUCUCUCUGUCUCUUUAUUUUCUUUGAAAUUGCAACAGCCAUUUAAAAGAGGCUGAAGAUCAAUAAUUUGGAAAAGAUUCUUGGGUUUUGGUGGGUUUUUGAUUCUUUAACUUAGAGACUUGUGAGGAUGUUUGGGUGUGAUUGUUUUUAUUGGACCCAAGUUAAUGAAUUCUACUUUCCAGAGCCUCAGCCUUUCUCUUUGCCUGCUCCAAUUCCACAGUGGCCUCAAGGUCAAGGAUUUGCUACUGAAAGAAUAAACCUGGGAGAACUAAAAGUCAUCAAAAUUACCCAAUUUGAGAGUGUCUGGAGCUGCAGCCUCUUGCAUGGAAAAAAGAAUGGAGUCACAUUUUAUAGGCCUGUUGGGAUCCCUGAUGGUUUUUAUUGCCUUGGCCAUUACUGUCAGUCUAACGAUCAACCAUUGAGAGGCUACGUACUUGUGGCUUGUGAUGCCAACACCAAGAAACCAGAAGUUGGCCAUCUCCGUCAAUCAAAAUCAGGCUUUCCAGCUCUAAAACAGCCCCUUAACUACUCAUUGAUUUGGAGUACUAAUUCACAUGAUGAUGGUUCCGGUUAUUUUUGGCUGCCAAACUCCCCAGCUGGUUAUAAGGCUAUGGGUGUUCUGGUCACUAACAAGCCAGAGGAGCCUAGUGUUGAAGAAGUGAGAUGCGUUCGAGCAGAUCUUACAGAAAAAUGUGAAACUUGUGAUCUAAUAAUUUCCUCAGAUUCAAAAACUUUCAAGAACCAAUUUCAGAUCUGGAACACAAGACCCUGCAAAAGGGGAAUGUUUGCUAAAGGUGUUCCUGUUGGGACAUUCUACUGUGGUACCUACUUGAGUUCUGAAGAUGACCUGCUAGAUGUUGCCUGUUUAAAGAAUCUUGACAGCACCCUACAGGCAAUGCCAAAUCUGGACCAAAUUCAUGCACUCAUUAAGCAUUAUGGCCCUACUGUAUUCUUCCAUCCCGAUGAAGAUUACUUGCCAUCAUCAGUGCAGUGGUUCUUCAAAAAUGGAGCACUUUUGUGCCAAGAAGGCAAGGAUGAGGGUGAACGGAUUGACUAUAGGGGUUCAAACUUGCCUAGUGGAGGUGAAAAUGAUGGGGAAUAUUGGAUUGAUUUGCCAAAUGAUGAUGAUGCAAGAAAUAAUAUCAAAAGAGGAGAUUUAGAGAGUGCUGAGCUUUAUGUUCAUGUGAAACCAGUGCUUGGAGGAACUUUUACUGAUAUUGCAAUGUGGGUAUUUGGGUAUUUUGUCCCUUCAAUGGCCCAGCCACCCUUAAAGUUGGGUUAAUGAGUAUACCUAUGACAAAGAUUGGGCAACAUGUGGGUGACUGGGAGCACUUCACUCUUCGUAUAAGCAACUUCACAGGAGAACUAUGGCAAGUCUUCUUCUCAGAGCACAGUGGUGGCCGAUGGGUGGAUGCUUCUGAUUUGGAGUUCAUUGAAGGCAAUAAGCCGAUUGUUUAUUCGUCAAAACAUGGUCAUGCUAGUUACCCUCACCCUGGUACUUACCUUCAAGGAUCAACAAAAUUUGGGAUUGGAGUGAGAAAUGAUGCUGCUCGAAGUAACUAUUAUGUGGAUUCAAGCACAAGGUAUCAGCUUAUUGCAGCUGAGUAUCUUGGGGAUGGAGUUGUGACAGAGCCAUGUUGGUUGCAGUUUAUGAGAGAAUGGGGUCCAACCAUUGUAUAUGAUUCGAGAUCUGAACUAGAUAAGAUUAUUAAUCUCCUCCCAUUCUUUGUUAGAUUCUCAGUAGAGAACAUCUUUGACCUGUUCCCAACAGA
RNAcentral lists this unclassified non-coding RNA (1962 nucleotides) under Hevea brasiliensis (rubber tree). The record is from RNAcentral. Lineage: Eukaryota; Viridiplantae; Streptophyta; Magnoliopsida; Malpighiales; Euphorbiaceae.